Molecule: long non-coding RNA, 216 nt
Organism: Saccostrea cuccullata (small rock oyster)
Lineage: Eukaryota; Metazoa; Mollusca; Bivalvia; Ostreida; Ostreidae
Exons: 2
Source: RefSeq, a predicted model, not a curated record
CAGGAUGUAGGUAUGGGGUGGACACAUGAUCAACUUCCUUGAAGAUCAUCAUGGUAGAUUUGACAUGUGCCAACCUCUAUACUUAUCCUGGUCCCAAUAAAUUGGAUUCAUCAGCAGUGGUGAUUCUUUGGUGCCAAUUCAUCAUUUAUAUGACAUUAACAAGAGGAUUUUAAUUUGUAUCUAUGUCCAUUAAACCAUUAUAUUUUUAGACCAUGA